RNAcentral lists this long non-coding RNA (404 nucleotides) under Hordeum vulgare. Its description in RNAcentral is "long non-coding RNA (HVUL_LNC009747)". Lineage: Eukaryota; Viridiplantae; Streptophyta; Magnoliopsida; Poales; Poaceae. The record is from RNAcentral.
AAUUAGCAUAUAAGGAGAAUAACGUAAAGCUAGUCAAUGCGUUCAGCACUUUCACUUUCCGUACAUACCUUGAUGGGAAGGAAAACUCCACUUCGGAUGGGUUAAAGGUUUUCCAAUUAUGCCUUUCUUACGUUCUCAACUGGAUCACUUUAAUAUCGUUCGACUCAUUGUCAUCAGAGAAAGAUGUGCCGUAGGAGAAUUGACUUCGGAUCAGAGCAGGAAUCGAAACCAAGGAAAAGCUUCAUUCCCGUGCGGUUUCAUUAGUACUACAUCUAUAGGCCACUACUUCACCACUUCACUGGAAAGUGCAUUCCCAAUUGUAGCAAAGUUUCGUAACCACUAAAGCGCAUUCUCUCCUUUACUCUUAUUCCGGCAUGGAUCCCGCUGAAGCAUCUAGUUUUUGG